GCUCUUAAGUGAUGGAGAUAACACGACGAAUGUCAGUUUAUUGGAUCUAAACGCCACUAUAGAAGCACAGAACAUGCGAAUAAUUGUUCGUGAAAGAGAUCAAUUAAUUCGAAGCCUAGAGAGAGAAAACAUGUUUCUCAGAGAACAAGUGAACUCUCUCAACUUGAUGCUGGAUCAGCUAACGGCUUCCACAAAAAGUUUGGCAGCCGCAAAAAAUGAUAUUAGAAUAAAAGUUGAAAAUUCUACAGGAGUUUCCAUGAAGAAGUGGUACACACGACCCAAAGUUGUACUAACGGGUAGUGCUAUCGCUAUUGUAUUGUCUUUAUAUUUGAAAUAUAAAAUUAGAAAUUGGUAAAAA
Long non-coding RNA from Anthonomus grandis grandis, 358 nucleotides. RefSeq lists it as uncharacterized. The record is from RefSeq and is a predicted model, not a curated record. The transcript has 2 exons. NCBI's taxonomy places the organism in Eukaryota, Metazoa, Arthropoda, Insecta, Coleoptera, Curculionidae.